Molecule: long non-coding RNA, 2474 nt
Organism: Diachasmimorpha longicaudata
Lineage: Eukaryota; Metazoa; Arthropoda; Insecta; Hymenoptera; Braconidae
Exons: 4
Source: RefSeq, a predicted model, not a curated record
UCCAUAUGCCUGUACGAUCAUGAAUAUCAGUAAGCUUCAUAUCACUGUGAGUCACGAGGACCACAGGCAGAUGAUGCCGUAGAAUGAGCCUGAUACUGGGCCUAACAGAUUAAUCUCAUAAAUAUUUUACCCAUCACGGACAAAACGUUGAGAUUGAAGUACAAGUAACUCUUGUCUAUCGGGAAGACAUUCUCUCUCAUGUUGGAUUUCAUGUUACUCAUGUCUUCUUAGAAGACUUCGCAGUAUUAAACUUACAACUUUCAUUUAUUAUUCCGCAUUGCGUGUCUCUUCGUUAAUAUUAAAGUAGCUUUAGAGAGGGAAAAGUUUUUUUUUUCAACCUCACUCAUGUAUUCAAUAUGAAUAUCCAGCUGGUGGAGAAUGCGCACACUCCAUUAUGUAUAGGUCAAGUAUUUUCAGUUUAACUCGAGCAUGGGAGGUGCGUUGAGAAACAUCACUAGGUGAUCCGUCAACGGAAGUUGGAUUUGUAAUGUGAUGGGUAUAGAAUGAAAAGCGUUAAUUUCUCCGGAAAAAUCAUUCAUAUAUUCCAGUUUUUAUAUAGAACAUCAAUGUUAAUUAUUGGUGAUCUUAUUUAAAUACAAGAUAUGAUAAAAGUGAUGGCAAUAUCAUAAUUGUUGAUUGAUCCGAUGCUAUGAGAUGACUAGACUAUGAACUGCAAUCCCGAGGGAUCUUUUAACCGCUGACAUUCUGUAAUACCGCUGCUCCUGAGUACCCCUUACUGACAGAUCAACAAGACCACCAGCACUGACUAUCAUAGGAUUUCUGACAGCGCCUAGAAAUAUUUUCACAUUCUUCCUGAAUGUGAUGUCCAUGUCGUACCAGUGUGAUGCGUGCAAUGCGUUGCCUGUUCUGUCGCUCUCAACGAGGACGAAAUUACCACCGAAACAGAAUGCUAACAAUUGGAGUAAGACGCAGAACAGAAAAGCCGAUGCGAUUAUUGAAUCCAAAAGAUUUCCUUGUUGACCCUUGGAAAAAAUUUCGAUAAAUAUCGUACACAGGGAACUGCAGAAUUAAUAUUCAUUGUGCAACCCAUUGAACGACCUCACUCUCCACCAUUUUGUCGUUGCACCAACUAAUGCAAGAUGUCUGAUCUCCGGUGGAAAGAUUCCGAGAUUGUUAGGUCGUUGAAUGAGUUGGAGUAGUACAUUUAAAUACCGACCAAUAUCAUUUGUAAAAGUAGCAAAGUAAUUAAUAACAAACUUGUGAACAGCUGGGGGAGAAGGGCUUUGUCAAAGAUAGUACCGAACAGCUUCAGCAUUCUGACGAAGACAGAAAUGGAAUUAUUGGUACCAAUCAAUACCAACCAUCUGGUGACGUUCAAGUGCAUCCCUACCUUUUGAUAUGUUGAUGAAAUUUUAUGCAGUUGAUGAGCUCCUUAUUCGGAUCAAUAGUGGGCUGCCCAUCUGAAUCUACUCCGAAUUUUCCGCCGAAGUAUUCGAACGAUGUAUCGGAACUAUUAUAAUUUUCUUCAUCAUCAUCGAGGGCAUAAGUUGUUAAGUGACAUCUUUCUAAUCGAUAAUUCAGUAUUUCCAAUUGUGCUGUCAUGUUUAUCAGGACAGCCAUUAUGAGAGCAUCCUCGCAGACAGCUAGCAGACCCAGCCAGGUGCAUGUGAACCAAUCGAAGAUGAAGGCUGCCCAGAAGUGUGAUGUUAUGAAACAAUAUUUAAGAGGUAUUGAUCUGCAACAAUGAUGAUCAUAUGGGAUAUUCGGAAAAUCGAAAAAAUUCGAAGGAACCGGAUACACUACCCCACGGGCAAUCUUUCCACUUUGUAAUCGGAAUGCGUCAAAAUGGAGUAGUAGUAGAAUGGGUAAUAUUCAACUAGAGCUAUCAUGAUCGCAAUGGUGAAUGUUCUGGAGGCGCUCAGAGCUUUGGUUAUCACUUUAUUCCUAUAAUGCUCUGAAUAAAAUUUAUAACGAUUUAUUGUUCGUUUGUAUUCAUUGAGUGAUUAUUGUUUGCUGAUACUUACUGACUCGUUCUGCCCCUGGUAGGGUCCUCUCCCAAUUGAAUGCCUCCGAUAGCUCAAUCACUUCUUUUUCAUGAACUAGGAGAGCAAUAUAUUUGAGGGUAUCCACGAGUUCCACGGCGAGGAGGGAGAAUUCAUUGAGGAAUGUUGCGGCGUCCUCAGCUAUAAUUGUCCUCACCAAGAGGGUCAUCAGUCUUGCCGCCAUCACCACCAAAACUACGAGUGGGGAAACGCAGCUACCACGGCGCAGUGAUAAAUGAUGGAUCGAGGAACGUAGUUUUUGGUUCGAGGCGAAGGGCGACGUAGUAUCGGCGAAAUCCUAAUGGUGGGCAUCAAUAUUUUGAUGGGGAUAGCACUGCAACUCCUGAGUAAGCUUUGGCUAAAAUCUGAAAGCAAGAAUUUCAAUGAGGCAUCAACGAAAAUUUGGUGAUAAGGUAAGCGGCCCAGAUAAUUGCGUACAUUUUUGAAAGUCACAGCUGAGAGGUCAAAAAG